This 211-nucleotide ribosomal RNA is filed under the name uncultured bacterium. RNAcentral's name for it is "partial 16S ribosomal RNA". It matches the Rfam family "Bacterial small subunit ribosomal RNA", at positions 1282 to 1500 of the family's 1533-position model. The record is from RNAcentral.
CCUCUCUCAGUUCGGAUCGAAGUCUGCAACCCGACUUCGUGAAGCUGGAUUCGCUAGUAAUCGCGCAUCAGCCAUGGCGCGGUGAAUACGUUCCCGGGCCUUGUACACACCGCCCGUCAAGCCAUGAAAGCCGGGGGUACCUGAAGUACGUAACCGCAAGGAUCGUCCUAGGGUAAAACUGGUAAUUGGGGCUAAGUCGUAACAAGGUACC